RNAcentral lists this transfer RNA (70 nucleotides) under Salmo salar (Atlantic salmon). It matches the Rfam family "tRNA". Rfam says of the family: Transfer RNA (tRNA) molecules are approximately 80 nucleotides in length. Their secondary structure includes four short double-helical elements and three loops (D, anti-codon, and T loops). Further hydrogen bonds mediate the characteristic L-shaped molecular structure. tRNAs have two regions of fundamental functional importance: the anti-codon, which is responsible for specific mRNA codon recognition, and the 3' end, to which the tRNAs corresponding amino acid is attached (by aminoacyl-tRNA synthetases). tRNAs cope with the degeneracy of the genetic code in two manners: having more than one tRNA (with a specific anti-codon) for a particular amino acid; and 'wobble' base-pairing, i.e. permitting non-standard base-pairing at the 3rd anti-codon position. Lineage: Eukaryota; Metazoa; Chordata; Actinopteri; Salmoniformes; Salmonidae. The record is from Rfam by way of RNAcentral.
CCCUGUGUGGCUCAGUUGGUAGAGCGUGGUGCUUGCAACACCAGGGUUGUGGGUUCGAUUCCCACGGGGA